Molecule: ribosomal RNA, 420 nt
Filed under: uncultured bacterium
Lineage: Bacteria
Description: bacterial SSU rRNA
Rfam family: Bacterial small subunit ribosomal RNA
Source: RNAcentral
UGAGGAAUAUUGGUCAAUGGGCGGGAGCCUGAACCAGCCAAGUCGCGUGAAGGAAGAAGGAUCUAUGGUUCGUAAACUUCUUUUGCAGGGGAAUAAAGUGCAGGACGUGUCCUGUUUUGUAUGUACCCUGAGAAUAAGGAUCGGCUAACUCCGUGCCAGCAGCCGCGGUAAUACGGAGGAUCCGAGCGUUAUCCGGAUUUAUUGGGUUUAAAGGGUGCGUAGGUGGUUUGAUAAGUCAGCGGUGAAAGUUUGCAGCUUAACUGUAAAAAUGCCGUUGAAACUGUCGGACUUGAGUGUAAAUGAGGUAGGCGGAAUGCGUGGUGUAGCGGUGAAAUGCAUAGAUAUCACGCAGGACUUCGAUUGCGAAGGCAGCUUACUAAGCUACAACUGACACUGAAGCACGAAAGCGUGGGGAUCAAA